CAGAGUGGGCAGUCGGUGUCGAUCUACAUCAUUCGCAGGUCGACCCUUGUGCCUGUUUCGGU
MicroRNA precursor from Caenorhabditis elegans, 62 nucleotides. The record is from Ensembl. NCBI's taxonomy places the organism in Eukaryota, Metazoa, Nematoda, Chromadorea, Rhabditida, Rhabditidae.